This 498-nucleotide ribosomal RNA is filed under the name uncultured bacterium. RNAcentral describes it as "partial 16S ribosomal RNA". It matches the Rfam family "Bacterial small subunit ribosomal RNA", at positions 29 to 523 of the family's 1533-position model. The record is from RNAcentral.
AUUGAACGCUGGCGGCAUGCCUUACACAUGCAAGUCGAACGGUAACAGGUCUUCGGAUGCUGACGAGUGGCGAACGGGUGAGUAACACAUCGGAACGUGCCCGAUCGUGGGGGAUAACGCAGCGAAAGCUGUGCUAAUACCGCAUACGAUCUACGGAUGAAAGCAGGGGAUCGCAAGACCUUGCGCGGACGGAGCGGCCGAUGGCAGAGUAGGUAGUUGGUGGGGUAAAGGCUCACCAAGCCUGCGAUCUGUAGCUGGUCUGAGAGGACGACCAGCCACGCUGGGACUGAGACACGGCCCAGACGCCUACGGGAGGCAGCAGUGGGGAAUUUUGGACAAUGGGCGCAAGCCUGAACCAGCCAUGCCGCGUGCAGGAUGAAGGCCUUCGGGUUGUAAACUGCUUUUGUACGGAACGAAAAGACUCUGGUUAAUACCUGGGGUCCAUGACGGUACCGUAAGAAUAAGCACCGGCUAACUACGUGCCAGCCGCCGCGGUAA